Cannabis sativa is the source of this 1134-nucleotide long non-coding RNA. RefSeq lists it as uncharacterized. Lineage: Eukaryota; Viridiplantae; Streptophyta; Magnoliopsida; Rosales; Cannabaceae. The transcript has 2 exons. The record is from RefSeq and is a predicted model, not a curated record.
AGAAUAGUGCGCAAGAGCAACAUGGGUUGGGCCACAAAACCAGAAAUAAUAAUAACAAUAAAACAGAGUUGCGAAAAAGAAAAGAAAACUAAAAACUAAUAUAUAUAUAUACCGCUAUACCAAGUUGUUGGGGAUUUCUAAUAAGGGAUAGCUGACACACCACUGGUAGAGACCUUUUCCAUGUGUCUGGUAUGUUAGGGAAUGGGGUCUACUAAUAAAAUAAAUAUCAAUACAUUUUAUUUUCUUAAUGUGAUUUUUGGUAAAUCUAUUAAUAUAAAAAUAUAAAAUACAUAUAUAUAUUUUUAGAUUAUUGUUUAUAGGCACACUCAAAGUGUUUUAUAUUUGAAGGAUCCCUCAUACCUCUUUCACUACACACAGGAGAAAUAAGAGAGAGAGAAAGAAAGAGAGAAAGAAAGGCAUAUGUAGAUGGAGAAAGAAAAUAAGAAGAAGAAUUUGAACAAGGGGAAAGAAAAGUAGUGCAACUAGAGAAAGCAUCCAAAGGGAUCGCAUUGAUCCAUCCUCAUAUCUAUGUUUAUAUAUAUAUAUUAUUCAUCUUCUAAUUAUUAUUCCGUCCCAUUGUUUUGGAUCGAUCAUGCUAUCCCUUUGGAUUCCUCCUUUGGUCACUUAUCACUCCAUUUUUUAACAUUAAUUUCUGGAGAAGACUGGUCGAACUACCAGCAAAAAAAACGGUGGUAAUAAAUUAUGGGAAAAAAUUCUUAUAAUCUUUUUUCCAAAAUCAAUUAAGGUGAUAUCCUUUGAUGAGAUGAGUCCUCAUGAUUAUGCAGAGUUGAAUCUAACUAAGUGGAAGGUAGUUUUUAUUAGUGAUUCUAAUAACAUUAAUGGGAAUAAAACAGUGGGAGCUCCCACUGUAGAAAGUAGUCGUGGGACUAUUGCAAAGGCCAUAGUUGCUGGUAUAGCAAAAGAUGUAUAAAUAAUAUUUAUAUAAUAAUUAUUUCAAAGAUGCCAGCAUAUAGUUGACAAUAUUUCUGGCCCAUUAUUAUCGGAAGCUUUUCAUCAUUACAACCUUCCAACAAUUUGAUUUCACCUUUUGUCAAAAAGUAACUUUAUGUAGAUCAGAAGUUACCUAUUAUAUAUGAGUAACUCUCUCCUCUCUACACAUGAUGAGAACUACCA